RNAcentral lists this ribosomal RNA (377 nucleotides) under uncultured bacterium. Its description in RNAcentral is "bacterial SSU rRNA". It matches the Rfam family "Bacterial small subunit ribosomal RNA", at positions 521 to 896 of the family's 1533-position model. The record is from RNAcentral.
UAAUACGUAGGAGGCGAGCGUUGUCCGGAGUUACUGGGCGUAAAGCGCACGCAGGCGGUCUGUCUAGUCUAUAGGGACAGGGCACAGCUUAACUGUGUCAGGCUUAUGGAAACUGGCAGACUUGAGGGCUUCAGAGGGAUGGGGAAUUCCGGGUGGAGUGGUGAAAUGCGUAGAGAUCCGGAAGAACACCAAAGGCGAAGGCACCAUCCUGGGAAGUCACUGACGCUCGGGUGCGAAAGCUAGGGGAGCGAACGGGAUUAGAUACCCCGGUAGUCCUAGCCGUAAACGAUGACCACUAGAUGUGUGGGGGAUCGACCCCCUGCGUGUCGAAGCAUACGCGAUAAGUGGUCCGCCUGGGGAGUACGGUCGCAAGAUUA